Molecule: ribosomal RNA, 1458 nt
Filed under: Staphylococcus aureus
Lineage: Bacteria; Bacillati; Bacillota; Bacilli; Caryophanales; Staphylococcaceae
Description: bacterial SSU rRNA
Rfam family: Bacterial small subunit ribosomal RNA
Source: RNAcentral
UCUGAUGUUAGCGGCGGACGGGUGAGUAACACGUGGAUAACCUACCUAUAAGACUGGGAUAACUUCGGGAAACCGGAGCUAAUACCGGAUAAUAUUUUGAACCGCAUGGUUCAAAAGUGAAAGACGGUCUUGCUGUCACUUAUAGAUGGAUCCGCGCUGCAUUAGCUAGUUGGUAAGGUAACGGCUUACCAAGGCAACGAUGCAUAGCCGACCUGAGAGGGUGAUCGGCCACACUGGAACUGAGACACGGUCCAGACUCCUACGGGAGGCAGCAGUAGGGAAUCUUCCGCAAUGGGCGAAAGCCUGACGGAGCAACGCCGCGUGAGUGAUGAAGGUCUUCGGAUCGUAAAACUCUGUUAUUAGGGAAGAACAUAUGUGUAAGUAACUGUGCACAUCUUGACGGUACCUAAUCAGAAAGCCACGGCUAACUACGUGCCAGCAGCCGCGGUAAUACGUAGGUGGCAAGCGUUAUCCGGAAUUAUUGGGCGUAAAGCGCGCGUAGGCGGUUUUUUAAGUCUGAUGUGAAAGCCCACGGCUCAACCGUGGAGGGUCAUUGGAAACUGGAAAACUUGAGUGCAGAAGAGGAAAGUGGAAUUCCAUGUGUAGCGGUGAAAUGCGCAGAGAUAUGGAGGAACACCAGUGGCGAAGGCGACUUUCUGGUCUGUAACUGACGCUGAUGUGCGAAAGCGUGGGGAUCAAACAGGAUUAGAUACCCUGGUAGUCCACGCCGUAAACGAUGAGUGCUAAGUGUUAGGGGGUUUCCGCCCCUUAGUGCUGCAGCUAACGCAUUAAGCACUCCGCCUGGGGAGUACGACCGCAAGGUUGAAACUCAAAGGAAUUGACGGGGACCCGCACAAGCGGUGGAGCAUGUGGUUUAAUUCGAAGCAACGCGAAGAACCUUACCAAAUCUUGACAUCCUUUGACAACUCUAGAGAUAGAGCUUUCCCCUUCGGGGGACAAAGUGACAGGUGGUGCAUGGUUGUCGUCAGCUCGUGUCGUGAGAUGUUGGGUUAAGUCCCGCAACGAGCGCAACCCUUAAGCUUAGUUGCCAUCAUUAAGUUGGGCACUCUAAGUUGACUGCCGGUGACAAACCGGAGGAAGGUGGGGAUGACGUCAAAUCAUCAUGCCCCUUAUGAUUUGGGCUACACACGUGCUACAAUGGACAAUACAAAGGGCAGCGAAACCGCGAGGUCAAGCAAAUCCCAUAAAGUUGUUCUCAGUUCGGAUUGUAGUCUGCAACUCGACUACAUGAAGCUGGAAUCGCUAGUAAUCGUAGAUCAGCAUGCUACGGUGAAUACGUUCCCGGGUCUUGUACACACCGCCCGUCACACCACGAGAGUUUGUAACACCCGAAGCCGGUGGAGUAACCUUUUAGGAGCUAGCCGUCGAAGGUGGGACAAAUGAUUGGGGUGAAGUCGUAACAAGGUAGCCGUAUCGGAAGGUGCGGCUGGAUCACCU